AACGAACGCUGGCGGCAUGCCUAACACAUGCAAGUCGAACGAGACCUUCGGGUCUAGUGGCGCACGGGUGCGUAACGCGUGGGAACCUGCCCUUAGGUUCGGAAUAACUCCCCGAAAGGGGUGCUAAUACCGGAUAAUGUCUUCGGGCCAAAGAUUUAUCGCCUUUGGAUGGGCCCGCGUUGGAUUAGCUAGUUGGUAGGGUAAAAGCCUACCAAGGCGACGAUCCAUAGCUGGUCUGAGAGGAUGAUCAGCCACACUGGGACUGAGACACGGCCCAGACUCCUACGGGAGGGAGCAGUGGGGAAUAUUGGACAAUGGGCGCAGGCCUGAUCCAGCCAUGCCGCGUGAGUGAUGAAGGCCUUAGGGUUGUAAAGCUCUUUUACCCGGGAUGAUAAUGACAGUACCGGGAGAAUAAGCACCGGCUAACUCCGUG
RNAcentral lists this ribosomal RNA (433 nucleotides) under uncultured bacterium. RNAcentral describes it as "partial 16S ribosomal RNA". It matches the Rfam family "Bacterial small subunit ribosomal RNA", at positions 29 to 507 of the family's 1533-position model. The record is from RNAcentral.